UACAGAGGGUGCAAGCGUUGUUCGGAUUCACUGGGUUUAAAGGGUGCGUAGGCGGAUUUGUAAGUCCGUGGUGAAAUCUCCGAGCUUAACUCGGAAACUGCCAUGGAUACUAUAAGUCUUGAAUGUUGUGGAGGUUUGCGGAAUAUGUCAUGUAGCGGUGAAAUGCUUAGAUAUGACAUAGAACACCGAUUGCGAAGGCAGCAGGCUACACAAAUAUUGACGCUGAGGCACGAAAGCGUGGGGAUCAAACAGG
This 253-nucleotide ribosomal RNA is filed under the name uncultured bacterium. RNAcentral describes it as "partial 16S ribosomal RNA". It matches the Rfam family "Bacterial small subunit ribosomal RNA", at positions 524 to 776 of the family's 1533-position model. The record is from RNAcentral.